This 541-nucleotide ribosomal RNA is filed under the name Vibrio cholerae. Its description in RNAcentral is "partial 23S ribosomal RNA". It matches the Rfam family "Bacterial large subunit ribosomal RNA", at positions 644 to 1188 of the family's 2925-position model. The record is from RNAcentral. Lineage: Bacteria; Pseudomonadati; Pseudomonadota; Gammaproteobacteria; Vibrionales; Vibrionaceae.
GGUUAACCGUAUAGGGGAGCCGUAGCGAAAGCGAGUCUUAACUGGGCGCUCAGUCUCUGGAUAUAGACCCGAAACCGGGUGAUCUAGCCAUGGGCAGGUUGAAGGUUGAGUAACAUCAACUGGAGGACCGAACCGACUAAUGUUGAAAAAUUAGCGGAUGACUUGUGGCUAGGGGUGAAAGGCCAAUCAAACUCGGAGAUAGCUGGUUCUCCCCGAAAGCUAUUUAGGUAGCGCCUCGGACGAAUACUACUGGGGGUAGAGCACUGUUAAGGCUAGGGGGUCAUCCCGACUUACCAACCCUUUGCAAACUCCGAAUACCAGUAAGUACUAUCCGGGAGACACACGGCGGGUGCUAACGUCCGUCGUGGAGAGGGAAACAACCCAGACCGCCAGCUAAGGUCCCAAAGUAUUGCUAAGUGGGAAACGAUGUGGGAAGGCUCAGACAGCUAGGAUGUUGGCUUAGAAGCAGCCAUCAUUUAAAGAAAGCGUAAUAGCUCACUAGUCGAGUCGGCCUGCGCGGAAGAUGUAACGGGGCUAAGCA